This 1782-nucleotide long non-coding RNA is filed under the name Ananas comosus (pineapple). RNAcentral describes it as "long non-coding RNA (ACOM_LNC016286)". The record is from RNAcentral. Lineage: Eukaryota; Viridiplantae; Streptophyta; Magnoliopsida; Poales; Bromeliaceae.
AGUUGUUGUCAGUUUGUGUAGAAGCAGUUUAGAAGUUUCAUUGAAGUUAAUUAAGGGCCUGUUUAGCCUAGCUUCUGUAAAAGUGAUUUUGGUUUGGUGAAUUAAUUUUGAUGAAAAGCUGUAGAGUGUUUUGUCGAAUUUAGAAAAAAGUGAUUUUCCUGAAAUGAUUUUCUAAAACUGUUUGGUAAAAAAUUUUUGAUGUUUGCAUAUAUUAAUAUUUUUACUAAAUUUUAUUUUUAAAAUAAUUUACAAUUUGAAUUUAAAUUAAAAUUUUAAAUUUGAAUUAAAAGUAUAAUUUUUAAAUUUCAAACUUGUAAAAAAAUAAAUUUAAAAUUUCAAAAUUUAAAAUUUAAAAUUUGAAUUUUUAAAUCUAAAUUUAAAUUUCAAAUUUUAAAUUUCAAAAUUCAAAAUUCAAAAUUCAAAAUUCAAAAUUCAAAAUUCAAAAUUCAAAAUUCAAAUAUAAAAUAUAAAAUAUAAAAUAUAAAAUAUGAAUUUUGAAAUUUAAACUUAAAAUUAAAAUUUUAAAUUUUAAAAUUUAAAAUUUUGAAAUUUGAAAUUAAAAUUAAAAUUUAAAAUUUGAAUUUUUGAAAUUUGAAAUUUGAAAUUUAAAAUUUGAAACUUAAAUUUUAAAUUUUAAAAUUUAAAUUUUAAAUUUAAAAAGUUGAAAUUUAAAAAUUCAAAUAUGAAUUUAAAAUUUUAAAAUUUAAAUUUAAUCUUAAAUUUAUACUUUGAAUCUAAAAUAAAAAUAAAAAUUAGAAGUUUGAGUUUAAAAUCAGAAUCAGUUUUAGAGAAACAGUUUUUUUCUACUUCUGAUUCUUAAGCCUUCAAAAUCAGUUUUCUAAUUCUAAAAAGCAGAAUCAGAUUUUCAGAAUGUCAUUCCAAACGCUCUACUGAGCUCAAAAGUGAUUUUGAGCUCAGAAUCACUUUUAAAUAGCUUGGCCAAACACUCCCUAAGUUUUCGAUUCUACUGGCAAUUUUCCUCUGCUCAGUGCUCACCCACUUUUAUGAAAUGGGUAUCUGACUAUUCAGUCUUGGGAUACUCGAUUCUCAAAAUUACGUUCCACUUCUAAUUAGUACUUUAACAAUUAUAUAUAACAUACCUCAAUACUAAUAGGCAAAGAGAUGAUGUUGAGACGGUUGAUCAUCUGUUUGUCGGAUGCGUAAUCAGCAAAUUUUUAAUAUUCAACAUUCUAGAAGGUGGACACAUCUCGGGGCCUGGGAUGGAGGUCAGGGGUGUCUGGGAGUUUCUUGUUGGGGACCGCCACCCAGGGGCAACAGUGAGGGAUCUAACCAGGGUCACAAUUUGUUGAUGGAUGAUCUGACGGAAAAGAAAUGACAUAAUUUUUAGAAACCAAUCAUUUGAAUUUUUUUUUGACAAUUAGAUGAAUCCGAAAAAUGAGUCAGAAAUGGACAGAGUUUUGCAGCUCUUAGUGACUUGGUUUUGAGUGAGGAAUAGAAUUAGCAAUUUUUCUAUGAAUUUUCCUCUCUGCUUUCAUUUGUAUUUUAUGUUUUGUUUACUCUUAAUGUUUUUCGAUGCCACGUUGCCUCAACCCUUAUAGCCAAAUUUAUUUUCUAAAUAAAUGAAGCGGGUAGCGUGCUACUUUUUGCUCAAAUAAAAAUAGACAAAAUGACUUAAAAAAUAAUACAAAUAAAUAAUUAAAGACAAUAUAUUUCAAACAUUAUAUAUUUAACACCCAAAGAUCGAAAACGCGACUAUAAUAUCAUUGCCCUGGUACUACAGAUAGUAUAGAAGCCUAGCCCUCUCUCUCUCUCUCUCUCUCU